Molecule: ribosomal RNA, 253 nt
Filed under: uncultured bacterium
Lineage: Bacteria
Description: partial 16S ribosomal RNA
Rfam family: Bacterial small subunit ribosomal RNA
Source: RNAcentral
UACGUAGGGGGCUAGCGUUGUCCGGAUUUAUUGGGCGUAAAGAGCGUGUAGGCGGCCAGGUAGGUCUGCUGUGAAAACUCGAGGCUCAACCUCGAGACGUCGGCGGAAACCAUCUGGCUAGAGUCCGGAAGAGGAGAGUGGAAUUCCUGGUGUAGCGGUGAAAUGCGCAGAUAUCAGGAGGAACACCAAUUGCGAAGGCAGCUCGCUGGGACGUAACUGACGCUGAGACGCGAAAGCGUGGGGAGCAAACAGG